Non-coding RNA from Cinara cedri, 356 nucleotides. The record is from the annotation of a GenBank genome assembly. NCBI's taxonomy places the organism in Eukaryota, Metazoa, Arthropoda, Insecta, Hemiptera, Aphididae.
AAAAUAGAAACAAAAAAAAAAGUAACAGUCAGUAAAUUAUCAAAUACAGUGCCAUCAAUAAUUAAAUAAUUUAUGAAAUUUCCUACAUUAGUAUUUCUCAGUUUAUUAAUUAAUAGAUAAAGUUCAAAUUUAGUUUUAGCAAAUAUCUAAACUAUACUUGGAGAUUUUACUUCUAAUGUAUUCAUGUGUAUGGGAUAAACAGCAUAUUCUAGCACGGUUUUUUCUUCUUACACUAAGUAAAAUUUUGUUUAUAGUAAAAAUGAUAAUUUAUUUUUUUACCAAAAAAACUAGUCACUUUAGUCAUAGCGAAAUUUAGCAGCAAGUAAGUACUGUAAAAUUAGCAUUAUUGAUGUAUA